UUUCGUGCACAGCUCAUCUCGUUGUCACACACUUGUCUAUGGAUCACGUAACCCACCAAAAUUCGAUCUGGAAAAAAAUAACUCUCCCGAUAACACUGAAGGACCCGGAUGACACCCUGGGACAACACAGGGAGCCCAACAAGAAUGAAGAGCCAGGCCUUUGAAGCUAAAAGCAUUCUUAGCAUAGCCUGCAAAUUCGAUAAGAAAACUCAAUAACAUAAAAGUACUAUUUCGGUGAAAAAUGAAUGUGCUGGUUGGAACGUUCUCAGUACAAUAAUACCGUUGUACGCUCCUAAUGACGGGCCCAUCGGGUCUCCUAAAUGUCUUAUAAAAGAGCAAAAUCUGUUAACUCCACAUAUAUAUUUUAUAGCUAUUUGCGAAAAAGUAGAAUGUGGGUUAAAUCUGGUUGUAAUCGUAUUUGUUCACCUUUUUUGCAGGGAAAAAAUAAACUGGACCGAUCUUAAUUAA
Nematostella vectensis (starlet sea anemone) is the source of this 468-nucleotide long non-coding RNA. RefSeq lists it as uncharacterized. The transcript has 2 exons. Lineage: Eukaryota; Metazoa; Cnidaria; Anthozoa; Actiniaria; Edwardsiidae. The record is from RefSeq and is a predicted model, not a curated record.